UACGGAGGAUGCGAGCGUUAUCCGGAUUUAUUGGGUUUAAAGGGUGCGUAGGCAGACGCUUAAGUCAGCGGUAAAAUUGCGGGGCUCAACCUCGUCGAGCCGUUGAAACUGGGUGUCUUGAGUGGGCGAGAAGUACGCGGAAUGCGUGGUGUAGCGGUGAAAUGCAUAGAUAUCACGCAGAACUCCGAUUGCGAAGGCAGCGUACCGGCGCCCAACUGACGCUGAAGCACGAAGGCGUGGGUAUCGAACAGG
RNAcentral lists this ribosomal RNA (252 nucleotides) under uncultured bacterium. Its description in RNAcentral is "partial 16S ribosomal RNA". It matches the Rfam family "Bacterial small subunit ribosomal RNA", at positions 524 to 776 of the family's 1533-position model. The record is from RNAcentral.